GAAGAAGAAGAAGAAGAAGUAGAAGAAGAAAAAGAAGAAGAAGAGUAGGAGGAAGAGGAGGAGAGACAAAGAAAAUUACUACUACUACUACUACUACUACUACAACUACUACUACUACAAUUUCACGCCCACUACUCAGGAAAGGUGUUGAGAGUAAAGUCUGUAGCAGCGUGAGUGUACCUGAGGCUUCACGUUAAGUCCCCGCCUCCUCUGGUUUCUCAUUGGUGGACAUCGUGACGCAGACUCAUAUACGCCUCUCCGUCUGUCUGUCUCCCCCGCCCACAUACACGCUCAUACACACACACACACACACACACACACACGAGCGAUUCUAUAAUAACGCACACGCACACUGGAAUGC
This is a long non-coding RNA of Portunus trituberculatus (swimming crab), 361 nucleotides long. RefSeq lists it as uncharacterized. Lineage: Eukaryota; Metazoa; Arthropoda; Malacostraca; Decapoda; Portunidae. The transcript has 3 exons. The record is from RefSeq and is a predicted model, not a curated record.